AUGGCUGAACCGAAGACGGGUGAGCACGUUGUUGCAGAUGGCUUCGACUUUCCUCUUUUGUUUGUUCCGGAGCUGAGCCCGCCUCCGCCGCCGUUGGUGUUCACAUUAACUAUUAGAGUAGCUCGUUAUGUCUACAAGCUUGAUGAUGGAAGCGAGCAAGUUGUUGACAAGCAUGAUGUUGUGUUUGAUUUCAACAUUUCUGGUAUGUCAUGGGUUAGCUUCAAUGAAGCUGUGGCAGAACAUAUCAAAAUGGGGAUAGGCCAGGAGAUACAUAUGGCACUACAAUUGAGUAUCAUACGCUGUGGAAAGGCAAAGAUAUAG
This 321-nucleotide ribosomal RNA is filed under the name Triticum aestivum (bread wheat). RNAcentral describes it as "partial small subunit ribosomal RNA". Lineage: Eukaryota; Viridiplantae; Streptophyta; Magnoliopsida; Poales; Poaceae. The record is from RNAcentral.